RNAcentral lists this ribosomal RNA (511 nucleotides) under uncultured Acidobacteriota bacterium. Its description in RNAcentral is "bacterial SSU rRNA". It matches the Rfam family "Bacterial small subunit ribosomal RNA", at positions 355 to 858 of the family's 1533-position model. The record is from RNAcentral. Lineage: Bacteria; Pseudomonadati; Acidobacteriota.
UGGGGAAUUGUUCACAAUGGGCGCAAGCCUGAUGACGCAACGCCGCGUGGAGGAUGAAGGUCUUCGGAUUGUAAACUCCUGUUGCUCGGGACGAAAAGCUCCGACCUAACACGUCGGAGUCUGACGGUACCGGGUGAGGAAGCCCCGGCUAACUCUGUGCCAGCAGCCGCGGUAAUACAGAGGGGGCAAGCGUUGUUCGGAAUUACUGGGCGUAAAGGGCGCGUAGGCGGCCUGUUAAGUCGAACGUGAAAUCCCCGGGCUCAACCCGGGAACUGCGUCCGAUACUGGCAGGCUUGAAUCCGGGAGAGGGAUGUGGAAUUCCAGGUGUAGCGGUGAAAUGCGUAGAUAUCUGGAGGAACACCGGUGGCGAAGGCGGCAUCCUGGACCGGUAUUGACGCUGAGGCGCGAAAGCCAGGGGGAGCAAACGGGAUUAGAUACCCCGGUAGUCCUGGCCCUAAACGAUGAAUGCUUGGUGUGGCGGGUAUCGAUCCCUGCCGUGCCGAGCUAACGC